Molecule: long non-coding RNA, 840 nt
Filed under: Manacus vitellinus (golden-collared manakin)
Lineage: Eukaryota; Metazoa; Chordata; Aves; Passeriformes; Pipridae
Description: lncRNA (ENSMVIG00005004880.1)
Source: RNAcentral
AAACUUUUCCGUGUUCGUCAAUCUGAAGUCUUCCCAUACUUUCUUCCCGAGGGGGUGCCCUUCUCCAGCAACCUUCUGCAGAUUUAAACUGGAGCGAUUUUCCCGUGCUCACCCUGCCGCAGACAUUUUCAAAAGAAACCCGUGUUGCUCCUCUGUGCUGGGUGGCAGAACCCUCAGGACACCAAUCAUCUCACACUUAACGACCCAGCCAGAUAUCAGCCUGCUUUACUGCCUUCAGCUGGGGAGCUCUCCAAGGGACUGGUCCUGCAGAAGUGUUGUCAGUCAGUUAACCAGGCAGACCAAGUGCUGUGUUUCAAGCAGAAGAUGAGGUGAAGAAGGUGAGCUGUACGGGUUUGGGGAUUGCUUUCAGUAUUUUACCUUCUUGCUCUCAUUUUCCCUCGAAUGGUAUCACCCAGCAGAAAGUGGAAAACAUGCUGCCAGGAGUGAAGUCAACAGCAUGUGAUGAGUGCAGCUGCAAUUUGAGCCUACCUAAUUGGGAGUUUCUCUUUGUUAGCACCCAGUGUGGUUAAUGUGCAAAGAUGAGGGGGAGUUCUAAUUAUGCAUUUACUGAAUAUAACAUGUCAUAAGAUCAUUGACAGCUAAUCAGAAACUUCCAAACUUGUUCAGCAUUCAAAGACAGCUUGUAACCAAAUAUAAACUUCAAAUUUAUGCCUUUGUAAUGAACCUUAUGUAAAUUCUGUGUUCAGUGACCUUUAAUGAAAAACACACCAGAACCUUAGAAGAAUCAAAAUGUUGACUGUUUUCCUCUUGGUCUAAUUCCUUUAGAAUAAGCACAAGAGCUUCUAGAAAAAGUUCAACAAUUUAAUUCACUAACCAGAC